This 253-nucleotide ribosomal RNA is filed under the name uncultured bacterium. RNAcentral describes it as "partial 16S ribosomal RNA". It matches the Rfam family "Bacterial small subunit ribosomal RNA", at positions 524 to 776 of the family's 1533-position model. The record is from RNAcentral.
UACGUAGGGGGCAAGCGUUGUCCGGAUUUAUUGGGCGUAAAGAGCGUGUAGGCGGCCAGACAGGUCUGCUGUGAAAACUCGAGGCUCAACCUCGAGACGCCGGUGGAAACCGUUUGGCUAGAGUCCGGAAGAGGAGAGUGGAAUUCCUGGUGUAGCGGUGAAAUGCGCAGAUAUCAGGAAGAACACCCGUGGCGAAGGCGGCUCUCUGGGACGGUACUGACGCUGAGACGCGAAAGCGUGGGGAGCGAACAGG